RNAcentral lists this ribosomal RNA (1392 nucleotides) under glacier ice bacterium sp. glbI13. Its description in RNAcentral is "bacterial SSU rRNA". It matches the Rfam family "Bacterial small subunit ribosomal RNA". The record is from RNAcentral.
GUCGAACGGUGAAGGGGAGCUUGCUCCUUGGAUCAGUGGCGAACGGCUGAGUAACACGUGAGCAAUCUGCCCUUGACUCUGGGAUAACUGCGGGAAACUGUAGCUAAUACCGGAUAUUACCUUGGAAGGCAUCUUCUGGGGUGGAAAGAAUUUUGGUCAAGGAUGAGCUCGCGGCCUAUCAGCUAGUUGGUGAGGUAAUGGCUCACCAAGGCGACGACGGGUAGCCGGCCUGAGAGGGUGACCGGCCACACUGGGACUGAGACACGGCCCAGACUCCUACGGGAGGCAGCAGUGGGGAAUAUUGCACAAUGGGCGCAAGCCUGAUGCAGCAACGCCGCGUGAGGGACGACGGCCUUCGGGUUGUAAACCUCUUUUAGUAGGGAAGAAGCGACUGGGUUUUCCUGGGAGUGACGGUACCUGCAGAAAAAGCACCGGCUAACUACGUGCCAGCAGCCGCGGUAAUACGUAGGGUGCAAGCGUUGUCCGGAAUUAUUGGGCGUAAAGAGCUCGUAGGCGGUUUGUCGCGUCUGCUGUGAAAACCCGAGGCUCAACCUCGGGCCUGCAGUGGGUACGGGCAGACUAGAGUGCGGUAGGGGAGAUUGGAAUUCCUGGUGUAGCGGUGGAAUGCGCAGAUAUCAGGAGGAACACCAAUGGCGAAGGCAGAUCUCUGGGCCGUAACUGACGCUGAGGAGCGAAAGCAUGGGGAGCGAACAGGAUUAGAUACCCUGGUAGUCCAUGCCGUAAACGUUGGGAACUAGAUGUGGGGACCAUUCCACGGUCUCCGUGUCGCAGCUAACGCAUUAAGUUCCCCGCCUGGGGAGUACGGCCGCAAGGCUAAAACUCAAAGGAAUUGACGGGGGCCCGCACAAGCGGCGGAGCAUGCGGAUUAAUUCGAUGCAACGCGAAGAACCUUACCAAGGCUUGACAUAUACCGGUAACGCCUGGAAACAGGUGCCCCGCAAGGUCGGUAUACAGGUGGUGCAUGGUUGUCGUCAGCUCGUGUCGUGAGAUGUUGGGUUAAGUCCCGCAACGAGCGCAACCCUCGUCCUAUGUUGCCAGCACGUAAUGGUGGGAACUCAUGGGAUACUGCCGGGGUCAACUCGGAGGAAGGUGGGGAUGACGUCAAAUCAUCAUGCCCCUUAUGUCUUGGGCUUCACGCAUGCUACAAUGGCCGGUACAAAGGGCUGCGAUACCGCAAGGUGGAGCGAAUCCCAAAAAGCCGGUCUCAGUUCGGAUUGAGGUCUGCAACUCGACCUCAUGAAGUCGGAGUCGCUAGUAAUCGCAGAUCAGCAACGCUGCGGUGAAUACGUUCCCGGGCCUUGUACACACCGCCCGUCAAGUCAUGAAAGUCGGUAACACCCGAAGCCAGUGGCCGAACCCGUAAGGGACGGA